This 11990-nucleotide long non-coding RNA is filed under the name Triticum aestivum (bread wheat). RNAcentral's name for it is "long non-coding RNA (TAES_LNC010937)". Lineage: Eukaryota; Viridiplantae; Streptophyta; Magnoliopsida; Poales; Poaceae. The record is from RNAcentral.
UAGAAAUGAAAUAAUUUUAGUUUUUUCCUGACGAAUAAUUCUAGUUUUGUGCUGCUGACUUGUGAGGAUCCUGCAAGAACUAAAAAAGUAUCCUAGUAGUAAAUUUAUGUAUUAACGUUGAUGAGGUGAUACAUAUUGCAGAGGAUUGAUGAUUAAACAAGCAAAGGAAAAAAGGGACACGACAUGUAAGGAAGCGGUGGAGAUCUCUCUUUAUUCAUAUGUGCUCCCGAUCGAUGCUCAAAGUAAAGUACCCGACCAUGUCUACUAAGAACGCCGAUUGAACAACAGAAAUGUGAUGCUACUGGCUAAGUGGGCCAAAAUUUUGUUCUCUGAGUUCACUUUCUCCAUGAGAUUCUUCUUGACUCCGUGAAAGAACGCUGUAUCACACCUUAGGGGCUCAUCAGAGGCCUCCCGUAACUUUGGAUAUAUGAGUCCAGCAUCUCGUCCUGCUCGGAGAUCAUCGAUGGCGCCCAUCGUGAACUCACCCAUACGUUGGUAAUAUUAGAUGCAAGUGUUGAGCUCUUGUAUUAGGUCGCUCAUGAUAUGCACCGUGGAUGUCACACUGUGCACAGUUCGUUGAGCGGCGGCGAUGAGCAGCCCGCGCUUGUCCGUGGCCGAGGCACCGGCUGGAUCGGCCGAGAGCACGUUGGCACAAUGGUCGUAGGACACAUUAGGAGCCUUCGAGCACGUUGUGUUGAUGAGAGAUGAGGUGUUGCUGGCUACGAGGCUAGGGAGGAUGGCUAGGGUGAGGAGGAGUACGACGCAGGGCUGCAUUUGCAAGGAGCGUAAAAAGCUUCGUGUGAGGAUCCGUAUGUCGCUGCAGUAUGCAAGUCGAAAUUUAUGCACUGAAGCGGAGCGUUGAAAAGGAAAGAGAAUCAUGCAUUAAAUGUAAAGAUCGUGAAAAUAUAUACUCGGUACUAUUAAAAUUAAUGGUCUUGCUCCUAGGUGCUCUGUAUAUUUUGAAUACGUACAUUUAUUCUGUAAAUAAAAGCUCAUUUAAUAAAUAGUAGGUGGAGAUGUGCCUAGAAAGAGUACUAGUAUUCACAUUUAUGAACGAUAUUUUGAAGAAAACAUUGCGUUUAAGAAUACAGAUUGUACGUAUCAAAAAGAUUUGGAUUAUAAAUCGUCAUGCAGCUUUACACGGCCAGCCUGUCCGUUAAUGAUACAUGAGCAGCAAGACAGGACCAGGGAUAUGCAUUAUUGGUUGAUCUCAGAAUGGGGUCAUUCUGAUCUUUCCUGUCUCGUCUUGGUCCGGCCAUGAUGUCUGUAUCUGGUUGUGCUGUCUUGUACUGGGUCAUGGCCUGCUGGAUACAUUGCACAACAGCAAUGCGAGGAGAUCGGUCAGGAGGCCAAGGGCACGGCCACCGGCCCAGGGCAACACCGAAGUGCGUGCUGAACAAGACGGGCGUCAACACCAACGACACCUAGUGCUGGGUGGGCAUGAACGUAACAGGCCCUAAGGGUGAACACCAACUCUGUCUCGCGCGCGUGGGCUAUUGGCUUUGGGCCCCAACCUGGCCUGCCAAUCCCUCUAAGUUGGGCUUAUUGCUAAUCAAAUGGCCUGUCAGACCCGUGCCUAACCACGGAAACCGAAAGUUGCAUGCCGAACGCUUUUCAUAGCGCUAGCUGAAGUGAGAAGCCAUACGAGAAGUUGAAUCUAGGAAGUUUUGGAGAAGCUGGGCACUUUCAGAACACGCCCUUAAUCUAUCUCAUUUCCUUGUCUCAUGCUAGAAGUUAGGGCACGCGCUUCCUUGACUUCCCCUCUUGACUUUGUUUGAUGAUUGCACUAUAUGAACCUUUUGUUCCUUGAUCAAAUAUCUGGCACCACACCUUGGUAGUCGGAUGCUAUAGCAAUGCUUGAGACAUUGAGAGUGCAAGUGAUGAUGAAACCUGCGAGAGUACAAGUGAUGAUGAAACAAUUGAAGAUGAGCUGAUGCUAUUGGUUGGGUACGAAACUGCUCCAUGCACGAUCCUCGUGCCCGACGUAUGCACGACACAAAAUCCAGCGGCUGAUGCUCUUUCCAUCAUACGUAUGUCCGGCCUGAUUUCAUUCAUCGUGCAUGAAUCGUCUAUUUAUGUCGUGUGUAUAGCACGACUCGGUUGGGUAUUAUGUCAUGAACCACUCUAACAAGUAUUUGAAGAAGAAGGGGAGGAGGAUACCAUUAUGCAUAGGACAACAACGGGUUGUUGAAAACCUGAGUGAUCACAAGUGUUGCUACAAGAUGUUCAGAAUCUAGCUGGAUUGUUUUCAUGCACUACACAACACACUUGUUGACGUCUUCAACUUCAAGUCCACACGCGAAAUGGGUUCUAUUGAUGCUCUUUCUAUGUUCUCGUGGAUGGUUGGAGGCCCUCAGUCAGUGAGUCAAGCUGAGAUUCUAUUCAAGAGGUCCACUGAAAUAAUUCAUCAUAAGUUUGAAGAGGUGUUGCAUUGUUUGGUAUGUUUAGCCGCGGAUAAUAUCAAACCAAGAGAUCCACAAUACUCAACUAUGCAUGAAAGGCUUCAAAACUCUGGAUUCUUGCUUCAUUUUAACAAUUGCAUUGGUGCAAAUGAUGGGACACACAUAUGUGUUGUUGUGCCGGCAAUUGACAUUGCUAAGCAUAUUGGUUGCUAAUUCUUCCUGCUACUUGUGAGCUGCGUUGGGAUUUUCUCGAAGAGGAGAGAAUGAAGCAGUACAAUAGAGAUAAGUAUUUCUCUCAGUUAAGAACCAAGAUUAUCAAUCCAGUAGGGGAACCACGCUAAUCUUCGUUAGCAGUACCUACAAGCACAAAAGCAAAUUCUUGCAUCCAACGCAAAUAAGGGGGUUGUCAAUCCCCUCAGUGAUUAAUUGCAAUGAUCAAAUCUCGUAGUGAUAGAUACAUAAAAUAAAAUAAUGGUAAAUAAAUUGCAGCAAGAUAUUUUUGAAUUUUGUAUAUGAUAAAAGUAGACCCGGGGCUAUAGUUUUCACUAGAGACUUCUCUUUCGAACAAAAAACAUACUGUGUGUAAACAAAUUACUGUUAGGUAACUGAUAUAAAGCGCAUAGUUAUGACGAUAUUCAAGGCAAUGAUCAUGUAUAUAGGCACCACGUCUGAGACAAGUAGACCGACUCCUUGCAUCUACUACUAUUACUCCACCCAUCGACCGUUAUCCAGCAUGCAUCUAGGGUAUUAAAUUAAUAGAAACUGAGUAAUGCCUUAAGCAAGAUGACAUAAUGUAGACAGAGUAAAUCCAACCAAUAUGAAUAAACCCCAUCGUUUUCUCCUCAGUGACUAAUAUAAAUACGUGUCUUGUCCCCUACUAUGUCGAUGGGAUAUAGAGCACCGCAAGAUUGAAUCCAUUAUAAACCACCUCUCUCAUUGCAAGGUAAAUCAUUCUAGUUGGCCAAACUAAUAAACGGAUAGAUUGGAGAGAAAUACAAAGCUAUAAUAAUGAUGCAUAUUUUUUUUAGAAAAGACUCAAAUAUUUCUCAUGAAUAAUCUAACCAUAAACCCACAAUUUAUUGGAUCCCAACAAACACAUCGCAAAAAAAGAUUAUAUCGAAUAGAACUCCAAGAACAUCAAGGAGAACAUUGUAUUAAAGAUCAAAGAGAGAGAAGAAGCCAUCUAGCUACUAGCUAUGGACCCAUAGAUUUGUGGUAAACUACUCACGCAUCAUCGGAAGGCAACAAGGAUGAUGAAGAAGCCCUCCGUGAUCAAUUCGCGCUCCAGCAGAGUACCGAAAAAGACCUUCAGAUGGGAUCACGAAAGAACAAAAGCUUGCGGCGGUGGAAAAAGUGAUUUUGGGUGGCUCUCUGUUGGUUUCCCGAUUUUAUAGAGUUUAUAGAGGUGAAAUUAGGUCAGACGAAGCCACGAGGGGCCCACAAGGCAUCAAGGCAUUCCUACCCCCCGGGCGCCCUGUUUCCUUUGCCGUCUCCUCAUUUGCCUUCUAGCAUCCUCCAGAAGCUUCUAGGGUCUCUCUUGUCCAGAAAAAUCAUCAAAAAAAUUCGUAGAAUUUGGACUCCGUUUCAUACUGUAUUUUUGAAAAACUAAAAACAGGCAAAAAACAGCAUCUGACACUUGGCACUAAGUUAAUAGGUUAGUCGCAAAAAAAAGAUAUAUAAUUGCAUAUAAAACACCCAAGAUUGAUACUAUAAUAGCAUGGAACAAUAAAAAAUUAUAGAAACGUUGGAGACGUAUCAAUAUCCGACACAAAACAAGAUGACAAUGUGUAACUUUGACAUGAGAUUCACAUCAAUAGUCACUGGAUGGCCCAGAACCGCACAUGACACAAGGAUUUUCAAAGAUACAUUGACAAAGUACAUGACGACUUCCACACAUGACGAUUUCCACAUCCUCCCGCAGGUCAGCUUGUGCAUUAGUGUUCCCUAAAUAAUAUUACUUUCCAUUGCGUUGCACUAACAGUAGUAUUUUCACGAAAAUGAUAUCUUAUUGCUUCGGGUUAGUUCCAAUGCGACCAGAUAUCUAGCUCCAUACAAUGGAACAAAGUGUCAUCUGCCGGAGUUUCGACAAGGCCGUAAACCAAGUGGAAAAAAGGAAGUCUUUAACCAUGCUCAUUCUUCACUUCGGAAUGUCAUUAAAGGUGCGUUCAAGAUGAAAUGGCGUCUUCUACAACAUGUCACAAGUUACCCUGUUGCGAAGCAAACUCGGAUAAUAGUUGCAUGUAUGGUGCUGCAUAAUUGAAUAAGAGAGAGUAAUCUCCAUGAUAAGGAGAUUUACUUGUGUGGUCAAGAUGAGAACUAUAUGUCGGGUAACAUUCAAUCUGAGAAAUCUACGCCACUUCAUGGCCUUCAUGUGGGAGCCGAGCAUGUCAAUCUGAAUGACAUUCGUGAAGAUAUUGCACACUCUUUGAUUGGACAGGACGACGAAGAUGGUGACUAGUGUGCCUAAAGACUAGUCUUGUAUUUUCUUCCUGACUUAAUUGUAAUAUGGGAUCCUGCUUAUAGUUUGCAGUCCUUGUUAUUACUAAUAUAUCAUGUGGUAUUAAAGUGAACAUGUGCAUGUCUGCAUAUGUUAAUGAAAUUUUAUCAGUGAUAAUUACUUAGCAAUGAGAAAUAAUUUUUGGGCAAAAAUAGGUGCUAAGGAUGUUUUUUGAGGUACUAUACAACAUAACCUGAUAAAAUCAGUGUUUAAAUUACAUCUUCAGCAUCCAGGAGCAUUAUAGACUUUCACCACCAACUACAUCUUUGCUAGCCGUCCUAAAAAAAGUUACCAAACAAGUGUUUUGGGUUAUCAACUUCUAUCAGCUCAAGCCCGCUGCUUGUCAGCUUCUAUCAGCUUCUGCUGCGUCUCGUUCAGCCGCAGCCCAACAAACAGGGCCUUGAUCUAUCGUAACCGCGACCCCACGGUAUGACUGAGAUAUAGAGGAGGAAUACUUAUUGCAACUUGAACUUCAAGUGACAAAGGGAAACGUUUGAAACCGGCACGCCGGCCGAAAGUUCGGCCGGCCGAGCGCGCGUUGUUAGAUCAGAUGCAAAUCAACCGUCUUUAUUGCUCCAGUAACUGCCCACCGCUUUGCCUGGACCUUAUCUUAUCUCUUCACGGGGAGAUUUAUCAGCCACUCCCUUCUCUCUCUCACAUGAUGCAUAUCCUCUCUCGUUCUUCUUCCCACCCACCUUUUUGGCUGUUGCAGAUGCGGUCACCGGCGGCAACAUGGGACGACUACCACGGGUGCUACAAGGCCACCACUGGCGCCGGCCUCGGCGACCGGACUUGCAACCCCAGGUUCAUGGAGCUGCAACCGCGGUGACGAGGAGCUGCAUCCGACAUUGAUUUUUGCUGGAAGUAGUUCUUUUCUUUGCUACAAUCGACACAUAUAUUUGGUGAUGAGAUUUCUUUUGCUGGAACCAUCAACAAAUUUUGCUGGAACUGGCUUUUUCUGUUGGUACAAUCGACUAUCAGUGUUUUUGCUGGAGAGAACUUUUUGCUGGAACCAGUGUUUUUUUUGCUGGAACUGCCUUUUUUAUUUGCUACAAUCGACCUUUUUUCAGAUUUAUUCCUCUGAGAUUAUUUUUGCUGGAAACGUCUUUUGCUACCAUCGUAGUUUUUUUUGCUGAAACCAGCAUUUUUCAAAGGAUCCAAUGGGACGUUGACUCACAGCUACCUUGGGUAAUUUUGUUGCCAGCGUCGCUGGCGAGCAUCGACGCUCGACGGCGAGCAUUUUUUGCUACCACUGUAAUCUAUUUUUGCUACAACCAUAGUCUGUUUUUGUUGCGAACGUGGUACAAGCGACCGGCGAGCGCGGCUGGCGGGCGUGGUGGCACGGGUGGCCGGCAAGCACGAGAAACCAAGGACAAGUGCGGGCGGCCGGCGAGCGCGCGCGGAGUCCGGCUAGCUAGUGGGGCUGAGCUAGUCCGCUGCCUUUUCCCCCUCGAUCCGCUUUUCAUCCGCGUUUGACUGAGGGACGGAGAAAGGUUGUAUCCUACGGUUAAAAGAAGCUCUAUCGUACGUCCGGCAGCCGAUCGGUCCAAAUUUGAGCCGGUGCGCCGGCGCCUAGCACUGGCCAUUGACAAAAUAGGUGUUAGCAAUGGCUCUAUGAGGGCAUAAUUACCAUGUACUCAGUUACAAAUACAAUAUACAUACCAGGAGUUACAAGAAGAUGAGUACCAGAAGCUGGGUUCUCACGAAGUUACAAAUACAAUACACAUACCAGGGUUCACUACAAGUACCAUCGAGUCUUCUUUGCCGUUACUCAUUCAUACUCCCUCCCUUCCAAAUUACUUGUCGUGAUUAGUACUGAGCGGAGCUCUUAAGCACCGGAUUCGGGGAGUCCCCACAGCUAUUACUAGAUUAUAUACCGGAAAACAUUUCCUUAAUCCGAUCCCCCGUCAUGUAGACAAUGUUAAUUGCAAGGACAAAAACGGCAGGCCACAGUUGUUUGGGGCCGGCGUUGCUGUUCCACGUGCCGGCGAUAAAGCUAAUUCCCAUGCUCAGAAAACAGACUCCUACAAUGCAUGUGAAUGGAAUAGUCAUGAUCUUCUCGAUAUUCCAGUUCUUGGCGAGCGACGCAAUGAUCGUAAGGACGUGAAGAAGGCGCAUGUGUUGCAGUACUGAAACAGGAAGUACCUUCUGCUAAAUUUAUCUCGCAUAAUCGGGGUACCAGCCACGUACCCGUUGUCAUCCGCCCAGAAGCCACCGGGUGGAGUGAGCCCUGCGGCGAAGGUGACAGUAGCAACUAGUGAUGUCAGGACAAACAAGCAGGCACGGAAAUCCUCCUCCUCCUUUUUGACAGGGUCGCUGCCCUCGCGUUUGGCGGGCAUCAAACUCUGAAGGCCGUCUACGGCCACUGCUGCCAGCCGGCCGUCACUGGUGGGCAUGAACAGCACCGGCAUGCCAUUGGCUCCUUUUAUUACCUUCAACAACUCAUCAAUCGAGGUUUGCGGAGCAUGCUCAAUAGGGAUCUCUCGAUGUCCAGGGUGCGCCGAAUCUCUACCUACACCGGCUCGUCCGAACAUUGACAUUUCUUCUGACAUAUUCUCUGCAACAAACAUCAGCUCAAUCAACUAGCGGUUCCUUGUUUUCUUGUGUAGAAUACAUGGCUUUAGUGAUAAUUUUGAUUAGUUCAAUUAGAAGUGUCAGAUUUAGAUCAAAAUUUCUAUGGCAAGAUGUUCUCAGAUUCAUCCCUCGGAUACUUUGAGACAUCCUCAAAGAUCUGGAGGCGAUAGUUCAUUUUACUCCCUCCGUUUCUUUUUAAUCCGCAUAUAAGAUUUGGUCAAAGUUAAACUUUAUAAAGUUUAACUAACUUUAUAGAAAAAAUAUUAACAUCUACAAUACUAAAGUUAUAUGUUAUGAAAAUUAAUUUCAUGAUGCAUCUAAUAUUAUUGAUUUCAUAGUGUGGAUGUUGAUAUAUUUUCCUACAAAGCUAGUCAAAUUUUAUAAAGUUUGACUUUGACCAAUUUUUUUAUGAAAACUAAGAAGAAACGAAGGGAGUACUUUUUACAUUGAAUAGAGCAAAAAACCUAAAGUUACAGGGUGGUUAUUUCAAAAGCCCACCCUAAGGGGGGCUGUUUGAUUAGGUGAAGGGGUUUGGUAAGCGGACGUAAAAAAAAAUCCGUUGAUCUAGCAUUUUCGUUGCACCAAUAACAACCUUUAGGGACAAGUUAACACAAAACUACAAGUCCAAGGGUCUUUAACUAAUACCCACAACGGCACAAUCCUAAAGGUGACGAAUAACAAAAAAGAAACGUAAGUACAAUGAUUAAUAAGUUGAUGCAAAAUCUGACAUUGUGGGCAUCAGUUUUUUUCAGCCGGGGUCUGCUAGUUCUCGCAACCAGACGGUGACGAGGGAGCCCGCAGCGGAUGUUAAGGCGGUUAAGCACAAGUUGUAAAGAAAAAGGCUGUAUAGUGCAAUAUAUAUGGACAAGAAUGCACAGCACCCGGAGGUGGAUUUGGAGCACUCGGCGACGCAGACCUACGAAAUCUCGGCCGACGGCCUGCUCUACCAGGAUCCGAGCCACUUUGGUGGAAAUCAUUACAGGCUGUGAAUACGCCACCGCCUGCGUACAACGAAACAGUAGCUACAUGUCCUUGGUCAUUUAUUCUAUCUACGUGGGGACGUUCAGUUUGUCCGGCGAGAAUUAAAUGAAUCCAUCAUCACAUACCUGUGGAGUCUUCUUCUAGCCCGCAAGCACUCCAUUGCCAGAUCUGGAGAACAGGCUUCCUCUCCUCUGGUACUACUGAUUAUAUUCCAAACAAAAAUUGCAGAGAAGAAGAGGAUUUGAGUUGGGUAAUACUCGUGUGCGUCCGAUUAUUAGACAAAAUCUAAAGCAGUUGUACUUUUUUUGGCGGAAGGAGAUGACCCAUUCUGCAGAUCGGCUUUUCCUUCCUGUAAACUGCAUCGAUUGCAUGUAAAGUGUUUUGAUUUUUAACAGAUGGAGACCCUGGGUCGAAAUCAAGGACUCCAAAUCUUAUUAUUUCAUUUAAACAUUGUUGAAUAUGUAAGAACUCUGGCUAGAUCAGGCUGUUCCAAUAGUUCGAGUUGUCCACGCUAUGGCUGCCCCGAUUUGUGGCUGCUUGGAUUGGACUUUGUGCUUGGAUGUGCACCGUGGUGGUGUUUAUAAUGCGAGAUGGGAAGCGUGUGGGUCCGGAGUUUGUGUAAGCGUGUAGUGAAGGAUGUACAGUGUCCUUUAAGAGAGAUGAGGCAGGCUGUUUUGCAGGGAGGGACUUGACCUUGUUGACUUGCGUGCAUGGGUGUACAGGAAGGGCAUGUGCAGAGAUAUUCAGAGGAGUUACUGAGCAUUAGUUGCCCCGUACAAAUGAACAGUAAGGACGGUUCAAGUCUUGAUUUGACGAGAUGCUUGUCAACGGAAAACAUAAUGGACAAUUGACGUACUAAAAAUUAAUUAAAACACGCAUCUGAUUACGAAUAUAUCAAGGCGUUACAAAUUGUGAAAAACGAUUGGAACAUCUAAUUAGAGGGGGAAAUAAUAUAAAAACAAAGAUUGCCUCUGAAGCACAACUGGUUACAGACACGACCGCUGAACAUAAUUCUUCAUUAUUAUGCGGGUGGAACUUGAAGCACAGACAUGCGUCUUGAAGUUACUGGCGGCUUCAGGCCACCUUGCACCAUACGAACAGCAGGGCGAUCAGAUUGAUUGAGAGAAGAGCGAUGAUGAUGCGGUGGAAUUUCCUGUCUUCGCGGGAAGCGGUGAUGAACAACUUUGGCCACUUGGCACGUAUGAUGUUUAUGUAGUUUUCCUCCCAUUUCCAGAAGGUGCACUUGCGCGACUACAAAAAUGAGGAGAGAACACGAAGAACAAAUUUUGCAGAAGAACAGGAUAGUACUAAAAAAUUAUGAAGAUAUUAGGACAUACCCACCCGUGCUCGCACUUGUAAAAGUGUUUGCCUGGAUUGUUUGUAGUGCGGGAGACCCACCACUGAACCGAACCAUUCCAUUGUUGUAGAAAAGGCAAACCAUGAGGGGAAGUGGUGGCUGCUCCUCCAGAGGAACAAGGGGCACGCUGGAGUUUGACAUGGAAGCGCUUGAGCUUGACAUGGCAAUGAGAACCAUCUACCAGCGAGGAACAAGGUGAGAGAGCAAGCUUGAAGAUAAGAAAGGAUCGUGAUGGUAUAAUAUGCAGCUGUUCAGAGGAGGAAGAUGACCGUUGUAGUGAGCAUUGUGCCGUUGGGUGGAAGAGUGUAGCGUGUGCAUUAACUACAUUUGGGUGGUUGGAAGUUGGCAGGUGAGACUAGCUUCAGGAGGACAUCCAUUUGUUUGGACCGAGACAGAAAACGCGUGCACUGUUUAUAUGAUAUACCAAGCAGUGAAAGUGGAUUACUAGAAGUGAAAAGGUGUGAAUACGAAGCAGGUAAUAUAGUGAGUGGGAAUCCCAAUGCUAGUGGAUGGGAAGGAUUACAGUGGGUGUAGUUGCCGAGAGCUCCAAUGCAAUUUCACACAGCACCCUAUGUACCGAGACCACUUAUAAAUAAAAUUAAUAGUACUUUCUCUGACCUAUAAUAAGUGUUGCAGUUUUGAACUGAAAUAGAGUUUAACUUAGUUUAAAACUACGACACUUAGUGUGGAUUAGCUAUUGGAAGCGAGACUAAUGGUGGAGUAGCUUCUGCGGAUGAUGGUCAUAGUUUGGUUCACCAACAAGUCUGGCAGCGUGACGGACACAGGCCAAAAAAUCUAAAACAAAGACAUUAUUAAAGAGAGAAGAUAAGCACCUUGAACGCGUCCGGAGAGCCGAACGAGGCAGCCCUGCGUAAUGUUUCUGGCUAGUUUUGCUCUGUUGCUGGGGUGUGGUGAGAGUGAGCUGGCUCGUGGCUCUCGGGAGGGUUUAAGAACGCAUUCACAGCGCCCCAAGGUCCACACACUUCCAUCUCAUCUCAAAUUCUCACGCCUUAUCUUCUUACAAGCUUGACCCAGCCACGUACAGCCGCAGCGAAGACCUCAAAUCCGUCAACUAUUCCAUUACCGCCACUUCCCACCACUGUCGUCGCUGUUUGAUCUGGACAGGGUUGUUCUCUUCUCCAGCCAAAUGAAUUCAGCCAGCUUGAAAAGGUAUCCAAUUCAGUCUUGUCUCGAUUCCUCUUUUGUAUAUAUUCUACGUUUAUUUAUGAAAAUACCGUAGAAUGACGUUCCAUGCGUCAAAAAAAUAGUCUGCUGAAAUUCGGUAUUAUUGUUGCUUUUCAUAGUAUUUCUAGUGUACUCUUGCAUUGAUGGACGGUGAAAUCAACACUUGUAUCCCUUCUAUUUUUGAACAAAAUAGGAGGUUCCCUCCGAUUUCAUUAAUGAAACCAAACCAGAACAACCAUCAUCCCCUUCCAUGCCAAAAGAGGGGGUUCCCUCCGAUUUCAUCAACACUUGUAUCCCUUUUUAGAACUGAGGCUUCGUCCGGCCUUAAACUGAGGCCCUUGAGGUUUACAACUAGAGUUCAAAGCAAAAAACUAGGAAGUUCAUUACAAGUCAGGCGUGAUAAAACAAAGUGGUGCAUUGCUUGGAAAGCAGUAAACACAUAAUCACAACAUAUGGGGGUCAUUGUCGGACCACCAUCGCAACAAGCCCAACCUAAGGAUGGGUGACUCCUCUACUGGUAUUGUCCCAUCUCGAGGUAGCGUCUGUCACUUGAUUCGCUCGCUCAGCAUUUUUUCCGCUUAGUCCACUAUUGUUUUAUAAAAAAGAUGGUUGUCACUUUAUUUUGAAAAGGUUUUUAAAAUAGAAAAAUUUCAUGGAUUUUCAAAAAAACCAGGAAUUUUCAUAUAUUUCAAAUUUUAAAACUCAUAUUUUUAACAAGUUCAUUAAUUACAAAUAUAUUAAGAAUUUAUAAAUAGACUUUGUAAAUUUUAAAAUGUUCAAUAAACUUAAAAUAUUCAUGAAUUUUAAGAAUAUUCAUGAAUUUUAAAAAUAUUCAGGGACUUGAAUUUUUGUUGACAAUUUUUAAUAAAUUUCAUGAAUUAAAAUUUAAAAAAUUAAAAAUAAAGAAGAGAAGGAAAACCCCAAAAGAAUAACUAGGAAAAAAGUAGGAACCCUCAACCAGUGAUGAUGAGAGAUGAGGUGGUGCUGGCUACGA